CCUACGGGAGGCAGCAGUAGGGAAUCUUCCGCAAUGGACGAAAGUCUGACGGAGCAACGCCGCGUGAACGAUGAAGGCCUUCGGGUCGUAAAGUUCUGUUGUUAGGGAAGAACAAGUGCUAGUUGAAUAAGCUGGCACCUUGACGGUACCUAACCAGAAAGCCACGGCUAACUACGUGCCAGCAGCCGCGGUAAUACGUAGGUGGCAAGCGUUGUCCGGAAUUAUUGGGCGUAAAGCGCGCGCAGGCGGUUUCUUAAGUCUGAUGUGAAAGCCCCCGGCUCAACCGGGGAGGGUCAUUGGAAACUGGGAAACUUGAGUGCAGAAGAGGAAAGUGGAAUUCCAAGUGUAGCGGUGAAAUGCGUAGAGAUUUGGAGGAACACCAGUGGCGAAAGGCGACUUUCUGGUCUGUAACUGACGCUGAGGCGCGAAAGCGUGGGGAGCAAACAGGAUUAGAUACCCUGGUAGUCCACGCUGUAAACGAUGAGUGCUAAGUGUUAGAGGGUUUCCGCCCUUUAGUGCUGAAGUUAACGCAUUAAGCACUCCGCCUGGGGAGUACGGUCGCAAAGACUGAAACUCAAAGGAAAUUGACGG
This 591-nucleotide ribosomal RNA is filed under the name uncultured bacterium. RNAcentral's name for it is "bacterial SSU rRNA". It matches the Rfam family "Bacterial small subunit ribosomal RNA", at positions 338 to 916 of the family's 1533-position model. The record is from RNAcentral.